AUGGCACCGGGGUUCACCAAGUUUGAUUUGGAGAAAUUUGAUGGCGCGGGUAACUUUGGUCUAUGGCAGACAAGAGUUAAGGAUAUUCUGGCGCAGCAGGGAAUCUUGAAGGGUUUGCAGGAGACGAAGCCGGCCAAAGUUGACAACGAUGCAUGGGAGGGUAUGCAAGUGCAGGCGAUCGCUACCAUGCGGCUUUGUCUUGCGGAUCAGAUCAUGUAUCAUGUCAUGGACGACGAUACUCCUAAGGGAAUUUGGGACAAGUUGGCAAAUCAUUAUAUGUCCAAGUCAGCGACCAAUAAGCUGUAUUUGAAGCAAAAGUUCUAUGGGCUGAAGAUGCGGGAGGGGUCAGAUCUUGUGGAGCAUGUGAAUGCCUUUAAUCAGUUGGUCAUGGAUCUAGCGCGUCCAGAUGUGGAGAUUGAUGAUGAGGAUAAGGCACUACUUCUUCUUGUUUCAUUGCCACCAUCCUAUGAGCAUUUGGUCAUUUACAUUGACACAUGA
This 498-nucleotide ribosomal RNA is filed under the name Triticum aestivum (bread wheat). RNAcentral's name for it is "partial small subunit ribosomal RNA". The record is from RNAcentral. Lineage: Eukaryota; Viridiplantae; Streptophyta; Magnoliopsida; Poales; Poaceae.